GCGAGGUGGUGCUAAUCCUAGAAAAUUCUUCGUAGUCCGGAUUGGAGUCUGCAACUCGACUCCAUGAAGUCGGAAUCGCUAGUAAUCGCGAAUCAGCAUGUCGCGGUGAAUACGUUCUCGGGUCUUGUACACACCGCCCGUCACACCAUGGAAGUGGAUUGCACCAGAAAUAGAUAGUCUAACCUUCGGGAGGGCGUUUACCACGGUGUGCUUCAUGACUGGGGUGAAGUCGUAACAAGGUAGCCGUAGGGGAACCUGUGGCUGGAUCACCUCCUU
Molecule: ribosomal RNA, 276 nt
Filed under: uncultured SAR86 cluster bacterium
Lineage: Bacteria; Pseudomonadati; Pseudomonadota; Gammaproteobacteria
Description: partial 16S ribosomal RNA
Rfam family: Bacterial small subunit ribosomal RNA
Source: RNAcentral